GGGUCUGUAGCCUAGCCUGGAUAGGGCACCAAAAAAAUUGUGUAAGCCUUCUAAGCUGGGGAUCGAGGGUUCAAAUCCCUUCAGACCCA
Molecule: transfer RNA, 89 nt
Filed under: Candidatus Woesearchaeota archaeon CG10_big_fil_rev_8_21_14_0_10_36_11
Lineage: Archaea; Nanobdellati; Candidatus Woesearchaeota
Description: tRNA-Arg
Rfam family: tRNA
About the family: Transfer RNA (tRNA) molecules are approximately 80 nucleotides in length. Their secondary structure includes four short double-helical elements and three loops (D, anti-codon, and T loops).
Source: RNAcentral